UAGAGUUUGAUCAUGGCUCAGAACGAACGCUGGCGGCGUGCCUAACACAUGCAAGUCGAGCGUGAAAGUCCCUUCGGGGGCGAGUAAAGCGGCAGACGGGUGAGUAAUACAUAGGUAAUCUACCUUCGAGAUUGGGAUAACCCCGCGAAAGUGGGGCUAAUACCGGAUAAGACCACGUGACUUACGUUGCGCGGUAAAAGGUGGCUUUUUCUUCGGAUGAGGCUAUCACUUGAGGAUGAGCCUAUGGCCUAUCAGCUAGUUGGCGGGGUAAGAGCCCACCAAGGCUAUGACGGGUAGUUGGUCUGAGAGGACGACCAACCACACUGGAACUGAGACACGGUCCAGACUCCUACGGGAGGCAGCAGUGGGGAAUAUUGGGCAAUGGGUGAAAGCCUGACCCAGCGACGCCGCGUGGGUGAUGAAGGCCUUCGGGUUGUAAAGCCCUGUCAUGCGGAAAGAACAGUUUCAUGGCUAAUAUCCAUGAGAUUUGACGGUACCGCAGGAGGAAGCACCGGCUAACUCCGUGCCAGCAGCCGCGGUAAUACGGAGGGUGCAAGCGUUGUUCGGAAUUAUUGGGCGUAAAGGGCGCGUAGGCGGUAAUGAAAGUCAGAUGUGAAAUACUUCGGCUCAACUGAAGAACUGCAUCUGAAAC
Molecule: ribosomal RNA, 652 nt
Filed under: uncultured Syntrophorhabdus sp.
Lineage: Bacteria; Pseudomonadati; Thermodesulfobacteriota; Syntrophorhabdia; Syntrophorhabdales; Syntrophorhabdaceae
Description: bacterial SSU rRNA
Rfam family: Bacterial small subunit ribosomal RNA
Source: RNAcentral